GAUGAACGCUGGCGGCGUGCCUAAUACAUGCAAGUCGAGCGAACAGACGAGGAGCUUGCUCCUCUGACGUUAGCGGCGGACGGGUGAGUAACACGUGGAUAACCUACCUAUAAGACUUGGAUAACUUCGGGAAACCGUAGCUAAUACCGGAUAAUAUAUUGAACCGCAUGGUUCAAUAGUGAAAGACGGUUUUGCUGUCACUUAUAGAUGGAUCCGCGCCGCAUUAGCUAGUUGGUAAGGUAACGGCUUACCAAGGCAACGAUGCGUAGCCGACCUGAGAGGGUGAUCGGCCACACUGGAACUGAGACACGGUCCAGACUACUACGGGAGGCAGCAGUAGGGAAUCUUCCGCAAUGGGAGAAAGCCUGACGGAGCAAAGCCGCGUGAGUGAUGAAGGUCUUCGGAUCGUAAAACUCUGUUAUUAGGGAAGAACAAAUGUGUAAGUAACUAUGCACGUCUUGACGGUACCUAAUCAGAAAGCCACGGCUAACUACGUG
This 497-nucleotide ribosomal RNA is filed under the name uncultured bacterium. RNAcentral describes it as "partial 16S ribosomal RNA". It matches the Rfam family "Bacterial small subunit ribosomal RNA", at positions 28 to 507 of the family's 1533-position model. The record is from RNAcentral.